This 497-nucleotide ribosomal RNA is filed under the name uncultured bacterium. Its description in RNAcentral is "bacterial SSU rRNA". It matches the Rfam family "Bacterial small subunit ribosomal RNA", at positions 28 to 526 of the family's 1533-position model. The record is from RNAcentral.
GAUGAACGCUGACAGAAUGCUUAACACAUGCAAGUCGAUUCGAUUUACCUUCGGGUAUUGAGGAUGGCGGACGGGUGAGUAACGCGUAUGCAACCUGCCUGUAACAGGGGAAUAGCCUCUUGAAAGAGAGAUUAAUGCCGCAUAAUACGAGAUUCGGGCAUCCGGAUUUUGUUAAACAUUUAUGGGUUACAGAUGGGCAUGCGUUUCAUUAGGUAGUUGGUGAGGUAACGGCUCACCAAGCCGACGAUGAAUAGGGGUUCUGAGAGGAAGGUCCCCCACACUGGUACUGAGACACGGACCAGACUCCUACGGGAGGCAGCAGUGAGGAAUAUUGGUCAAUGGACGCAAGUCUGAACCAGCCAAGUCGCGUGAAGGAUGAAGGUAUUAUGUAUUGUAAACUUCUUUUAUCAGGGAAUAAUGGUCGCUACGUGUAGCGAAGAGGAAUGUACCUGAUGAAUAAGCAUCGGCUAACUCCGUGCCAGCCGCCGCCGUAAUAC